UUUACCGGUAUUUCCGAGUGCACGGCGGCACGGAUUCAUUCGUUCGUACACUCAAGACUGGUUGCUUCUUUGUUUCUAAAACUAGUUUCUUGCGCUUCGAUGUAACUUGGGGUGAAGUUACGUGUUUGCAAGCGGACAUGUAAGCCCGGCAGUUGGGUUUCGGUCGUGAGCCAUUCGGAACAGGUCUGCAUCGAAACGGGAGCUGGAUUUUGCUGCGGCUGACAACGGCAAUAACGACAUGCAGUAAUGAGGACGGCGCCAGUAUAAAGCAACACACUCCACGCACUAAACAGAAGCUGCUGCCUGCUACAACAAGGUCAUUGUGUGGACAUUGGCUACUACUACAAGAGUCUAUGCCAAGCACAUCUUGGUCGUCACAGGAGCUCCUAUCUGCACUAACAGGAAGGGGCUGGAGCCGAAUUUGCAAGGCUUUUACACCAAGAACAAAGAAGCACAUGCACAAGAAUAUGGAUGAGAUAUCAAGUCUGCAAAGGACUGUGUUAAGACUGCAAAGAGCUUCAGCCACCAUUCCACCAGCACGGACAUUUGGCUGAGUCAUCCAGGUAACUCAAAAAGGACUUUCUAGAAAUUCUUCGUCUUCAGAUGCACCUGCAACAUCUGACCAAGCACGGACGACGCUGGCCAAAAGAUUGA
Molecule: long non-coding RNA, 654 nt
Organism: Dermacentor albipictus
Lineage: Eukaryota; Metazoa; Arthropoda; Arachnida; Ixodida; Ixodidae
Source: RefSeq, a predicted model, not a curated record